UACGUAGGGUGCAAGCGUUGUCCGGAAUUACUGGGCGUAAAGCGCACGUAGGCGGAUUGUUAAGUCGGGAGUGAAAUCUCUGGGCUCAACUCAGAGACUGCUUCCGAAACUGCUGUGCUGGAGUGUGGGAGAGGCGCGUGGAAUUGCAGGUGUAGCGGUGAAAUGCGUAGAUAUCUGCAGGAACACCCGUGGCGAAAGCGGCGCGCUGGACCACUACUGACGCUGAGGAACGAAAGCUAGGGGAGCAAACAGG
Molecule: ribosomal RNA, 253 nt
Filed under: uncultured bacterium
Lineage: Bacteria
Description: partial 16S ribosomal RNA
Rfam family: Bacterial small subunit ribosomal RNA
Source: RNAcentral